Molecule: ribosomal RNA, 383 nt
Filed under: uncultured bacterium
Lineage: Bacteria
Description: bacterial SSU rRNA
Rfam family: Bacterial small subunit ribosomal RNA
Source: RNAcentral
GACGAACGCUGGCGGCGUGCUUAACACAUGCAAGUGGAGCGACGAACCGGGGCUUGCCCCGGGGCAGAGCCGCGAACGGGUGAGUAACACGUGGGUGUAUCUGCCCUGAUGAUCGGGACAACCCGUCGAAAGACGGGCUAAUACCGAAUGUGCCCGCAAGGGGAAAGGAGGCUUCGGCUUCCGCAUCGGGAUGAGCCCGCGGCCCAUUAGCUUGUUGGUGGGGUAAAGGCCUACCAAGGCGACGANGGGUAGCUGGUCUGAGAGGACGAUCAGCCACACUGGGACUGAGACACGGCCCAGACUCCUACGGGAGGCAGCAGUGGGGAAUCUUGCGCAAUGCGCGAAAGCGUGACGCAGCAACGCCGCGUGCGGGAAGACGGCCU